This 292-nucleotide ribosomal RNA is filed under the name uncultured bacterium. RNAcentral's name for it is "partial 16S ribosomal RNA". It matches the Rfam family "Bacterial small subunit ribosomal RNA", at positions 505 to 796 of the family's 1533-position model. The record is from RNAcentral.
GUGUCAGCAGCCGCGGUAAAACGUAGGAGCCAAGCGUUAUCCGAAUUCACUGGGCGUAAAGCGCGUGCAGGCGGUAUGGCAAGUUGGAUGUGAAAUCUCCCGGCUCAACUGGGAGAGGCCGUUCAAUACUGCCAAACUAGAGGGCGACAGAGGGAGGUGGAAUUCCGGGUGUAGUGGUGAAAUGCGUAGAUAUCCGGAGGAACACCAGAGGCGAAGGCGACCUCCUGGGUCGCACCUGACGCUCAGACGCGAAAGCUAGGGGAGCAAACGGGAUUAGAUACCCCCGUAGUCC